RNAcentral lists this ribosomal RNA (426 nucleotides) under uncultured Rhodocyclaceae bacterium. RNAcentral's name for it is "bacterial SSU rRNA". It matches the Rfam family "Bacterial small subunit ribosomal RNA", at positions 356 to 774 of the family's 1533-position model. Lineage: Bacteria; Pseudomonadati; Pseudomonadota; Betaproteobacteria; Rhodocyclales; Rhodocyclaceae. The record is from RNAcentral.
GGGGAAUUUUGGACAAUGGUGGCAACCCUGAUCCAGCCAUGCCGCGUGAGUGAAGAAGGCCUUCGGGUUGUAAAGCUCUUUCGGACGGAAAGAAAUCGCCGCCUCUAACAUAGGCGGUGGAUGACGGUACCGUAAGAAGAAGCACCGGCUAACUACGUGCCAGCAGCCGCGGUAAUACGUAGGGUGCGAGCGUUAAUCGGAAUUACUGGGCGUAAAGCGUGCGCAGGCGGUUUGGUAAGACAGGUGUGAAAUCCCCGGGCUUAACCUGGGAACUGCGCUUGUGACUGCCAGGCUAGAGUACGGCAGAGGGGGGUGGAAUUCCACGUGUAGCAGUGAAAUGCGUAGAGAUGUGGAGGAACACCGAUGGCGAAGGCAGGUUACUGGACCAUUUCUGACGCUAAGGCACGAAAGCGUGGGGAGCGAACC